This 794-nucleotide ribosomal RNA is filed under the name uncultured Bacillota bacterium. RNAcentral's name for it is "bacterial SSU rRNA". It matches the Rfam family "Bacterial small subunit ribosomal RNA", at positions 530 to 1325 of the family's 1533-position model. The record is from RNAcentral. Lineage: Bacteria; Bacillati; Bacillota.
GGUCCCGAGCGUUGUCCGGAUUUAUUGGGCGUAAAGCGAGCGCAGGCGGUUUAAUAAGUCUGAAGUUAAAGGCAGUGGCUUAACCAUUGUUCACUUUGGAAACUGUUAAACUUGAGUGCAGAAGGGGAGAGUGGAAUUCCAUGUGUAGCGGUGAAAUGCGUAGAUAUAUGGAGGAACACCGGUGGCGAAAGCGGCUCUCUGGUCUGUAACCGACGCUGAGGCUCGAAAGCGUGGGGAGCAAACAGGAUUAGAUACCCUGGUAGUCCACGCCGUAAACGAUGAGUGCUAGGUGUUAGGCCCUUUCCGGGGCUUAGUGCCGCAGCUAACGCAUUAAGCACUCCGCCUGGGGAGUACGACCGCAAGGUUGAAACUCAAAGGAAUUGACGGGGGCCCGCACAAGCGGAGGAACAUGUGGUUUAAUUCGAUGAUACGCGAGGAACCUUACCCGGGCUUGAAUUGCAGAGGAAGGAUUUGGAGACAAUGACGCCCUUCGGGGUCUCUGUGAAGGUGCUGCAUGGUUGUCGUCAGCUCGUGCCGUGAGGUGUCGGCUUAAGUGCCAUAACGAGCGCAACCCCUCUCCUUAGUUGCCAUCAGGUCAGGCUGGGCACUCUGGGGACACUGCCACCGUAAGGUGUGAGGAAGGUGGGGAUGACGUCAAAUCAGCACGGCCCUUACGUCCGGGGCUACACACGUGUUACAAUGGCAGGUACAGAGAGAUGGUGUUCUGCAAAGCGCAUCAAAUCCUUAAAGCCUGUCUCAGUUCGGACUGGGGUCUGCAACCCGACCCCACGAAG